This 34220-nucleotide long non-coding RNA is filed under the name Phaseolus vulgaris (common bean). RNAcentral describes it as "long non-coding RNA (PVUL_LNC001095)". Lineage: Eukaryota; Viridiplantae; Streptophyta; Magnoliopsida; Fabales; Fabaceae. The record is from RNAcentral.
GGUAGAUGGAGCUUGGGCUGAAUCUCCCUGUGAAGCAUAGCUCGCAGUGUGGCCCUCUUGUGCUGGGUUACUGCCACUACCAUAGCCAGUAACGGAGCCAUAGCCUUGCUGCUGAUCAUAUGUUGGUGGUUGUCCAUACCCUGAUUGAGAUUGUGCAUUAUAUGCAUUAUAGCUGUCCUGAGCAUAACCCUGUCCGGGUUGGCUAUAACCAGAAGAAGGUGGUUGACUAUAAUUGUAUGCAGAGCCAUCAGCUGGAGGUGCAGGACCUCCAGGAUUUUGUGGUUGCUGUGGCUGUUGACUAUAGUAAUCAUAGCCACCAGCAUGAGUUGACUGUUGGUGAGAUGGUGCAGAAGACUGGUCCCAAUUGGUGGAAUAUCCACCUGGUUGUUGGGGAGGAUAGCCCGAAUAUUGUUGCUGAGGCAUGUUAUACUGAGGUGAUGGACCAGAAUAUGCUCCAGGUUGCACAUAUCCAUAACCAGGUUGCUGCAUUGGUGCAGGGGGGGCCCAGUUAGAGGGUGGUCGAGAUUGGUAACCUUGCUGAGGAUACCCACCAGACAUUGAAGGAUUUCUAAGACGAUUCUGUGGAUUCAAAUUGAAAACCAAAAUAAAGGGAGUGAGUUCACCCAAAUUUCCACACAAGACAAGUAUAGGAAGCAACAUAUGCACACAUACACAGGUUAAACUUACAAAUGCAAAAAUCAACAUGUAAUGAACACGAGAUAAAGGGUAUAUAUAUUAUCUUGCAUUAACGGGUUGCAUACAUGAUCAGAAAGGGAUACGAAUACCUACAUACCGUACUGGUUCGUGAUAAAACUGAGUUACUCCAGCAGAAGCACACCCUUUCCCUAUUCGAAUUGAAUGGGUACAAAAGAAAGCACAGACCAUAGAAGCAAACAAUCAUUCAAUAUUUAUUGCCUUGAAAAGGCAAUCCAUCAUAUAGUAUAUCAAUAUGCAAUAUCUUACUCCAAUUGUUACACUAUACAAUAUAUCAUUCAUAUUCAUAUUAAUUCAACAAGAGUGACUGGACUACAGAUAUUUCACACCCUAUUAAGAUGAAUGCGCAACUCCAAAUUCAAAUAUACAGACUGUUGAAACAACUUUUCUGUGCUCCCAUGUACAUUCUCUCAUCCUUUGUACAACCCAUUCUAAUAGUCCAACCUCGGGAUCAUCAGUUAAAAACAAUAAAAUUAAAUAUUAUUUUAAUGGAACAUGAAUUAGAAAGAAAAGAAAAAUAAUUGAAUGAGGCAGAACAGAAGUGGCACAAAAUGUAUAACAGACAAAUCUUAAUAGAAAUCUUAAACAUAACUGGUUAGUUAAGAAAACUAUUUAACACUGGACAAGAAUAAUAAAACUGGACAAGAAUAAUAGUAUAGGGAAAAUAAUUAAAGUGCUGAACGACGGACAAAUUUCAGGUUACCUAUGCCAAAUGUAAGUCCAGUAUAAGAUACGAGGAUAAAAUACUACUCCAAGUACACUAAGGUUCUUUUUAGAAAUAAACUGAAAAGCACAAGAGACCUAGUUGAAAACUAUUUCAACAUAAUUCAACAUUGAGUCUAAUAAUGACACUAUAGUCAAAAAGUAUUAGUAGGAGACUUACUGCCCUUGAUAAUAAAUAUCAAAACUGAGAUUUAGAACCAUACCAGGGCAUGCUGAGGGAACACCAACAAAAGGAUUCAUGUUGGUGUCACCAAUGGUCCAAUAGACACUAACCCUACAACAGUCCCAAUAACAAUAUCAGUCAUAGGAUACACAAUUAAUAAGCAUAUUCCACUGUCGAAAGGUUAUAAUCUCAAUGAGUAUCCAUCUGGCCCAAAAAUAUUUCAUAAUAACAGUAGCCUUCAGAGCACCAGGAAUCUAAACCAACAAAAACAAUGAAAGACGCACCUCACCAAAGCACUGGGCUAAGUGAAAAACACAAUUAAAAUACGGUCUUUGUAAAUAUAUGGUAUCUUGGUCAAGAAAACUGACAGGCCAAUUCUAAAAUAUUGCUACCAACGUCCUUGAUUCGUGGAUGUAUAAAAGAGAUAAUGGCUAAGACGUAUUAGCUAAUUAUAUAGAGCAGACUACACAUACACAAACAUAAAGACACAGUUGACAAGUCAGACCCUGAAAGUUCAUCAUGACCAUCACCUAAUCCUAGACUAAACAUAAAGGAAGAUGCGUAUUGCUAAUAUAUCAAGACUGUUAAUCGAACAAGAUACCAUACAAUUGUUAACAACAUUAUACAGCUAAUAAUUGAUGGCUAUAGCAGUGAACGGUCUCACUAAUCAUGUUUCCACUUGGCCAGCUGACGCAACAACACUGAGGAGUUGGAGAUUACAAGCAAGAACAUCGUAACAGCCAUUAGUCUUCUACCUUUGUGCAUUAUUUUGCAUAAGUCUUGAAACACUUGCACAAUAUGAAAAUAUGUACUAAUUUUCUUUUGAGAACAAUACAGUAGGUAACAGAGAUCCGAAUAAUAUUAAUGUAUCAUAUAAUAAAGACCACUUGUUAAAGGCACAUUAGGCUCUGAAAAAAUUUCUACUUCCUUAAACAUACUCUAUCAUCUAAGCUGCUUUGGAAGAGAGAUCAAUGCAUCCCGAAUAUGCAUCAAGUUACUAAUAAUUGUCAUACAGCUAAGCUGCUUCGGUCCAGAUCAAAACAUCAAUAAUAUACAAUGUAUAAUAAUGGUCACAGUGUUAUGCUGUAUCAAUAAUAAGAUCAAGGAAUUAAUUAAUAUGAACAGAAUAAAUGUCAUUUAUGCAAAACUAAAGUGAAAACCAUCACAUGAUUUACCAAAACUAUUUUUUCCCUGCAAAGGAACAAAUCGGAGAGUACAAAAAUCAUGUAUCAUGUUACAGGAAUCAAUCAGAUCUAACUUUAUAUUUUAAUAUCAUAAAAAAUAAAAAGACCCAACAGGCAAUGACAAGCACACCGUAUUCAUCUCACAAUAACAUAAAGCUUGCACGUAAAUCAACCUAGUUUGAUCAAACAGUCUAGAUGAUAAAUAGAUUGUGCAACAUACAGAGUACAAAACCCAGUAGAAAAACAGCAAUUUUAAACACUAGACUAGACUUGGCCUUACCAGGCAGAUAUGCCUAAGCCAAAUCUGGCAAAAAGAAGCACCAUUAACAUACCUCGCCACUGAUGAUUUGAUUAACCAACUCCUUUGCAGACUCAAUUUGCUCAGGUGUCCCAUCAACUUUUAAUGUUCUUUCAGUUGAUGUGUCACCUGGAGGAAGAUGCAGAGGUAUCACCUGAAAAAACAUAUAAACAUUAGCCAAAAGUCAUAAAAGUUGGCCGUUAACACAAUCUCUUUUCAAAUUAGUUGCAAUCACAAAGCUACGGUAAAAAAAAACAUAACAACAAGGCUACACUAACUAUGAUUUAUCACCGAUAUCUAAUACACAAAUAAGAGAACAGCGUUCUAUAUAUCACUUAUAAGUACAAACCUGAAUCCGUGCUCCUGUAGAAGCUUGCAUAUUCUUUAUAGUUUCUCCUCCUUUGCCAAUUAUAAGGCCAACCUGAAGAUGCACACGAUAAACAUAUCAACCCAAAGAGAUAGAAAAAAACAGAUCUGAACACGGAAAUUACGCAUGACAUUGUACAAAGCAUACACUCAUAUCUCCCUUUCACACCUUAUUAUUUGGAAUUCUCAUGACAAAUUCAUCUGACCCAGCUUGUCCAGUCAGUCUUCGAGCAACAAUGCCAGAACCUCCAGAUUCAGCCUGGUACAACAACAGUUGUCAUCGUAUAUAUUGCAAUAAUUAAACAUGUGAGAAAUUUAUCAAGAAACAGACCUCCUUCGUAAGAUUAUCGUAACGUCAAAUCUAUGAUAAACGAAAUUUAAUACAUACAUGAUUCACAGAAAAAAAAAUAGUAUAAAAUGUGAUUAACCUCAGCAAGAACUUCAUUUAUGAGUUUCUCCGCAGAAGCAAUUGCCUCGGGAGUGCCCAUAAGCUCAACCGUUCUUGAAGUAGAAUUAGGGUCGGCGUCCAUAUCGCGAGUAACUUGAAUUUUAGCACCAGACUGCAACUGGAGAUACUUAAUAGUCUCUCCACCUUUGCCAAUAAUCACACCAACCCUGCCGUUAGGGAUAUCGAUCUUCUUGCUCGUUCCUUGGUGACUGUAGGAGACGGGAGGAACGGCUGAGUACUGAGGCUUCGCAUCUACGUUCACGGAAAACAGAGUUUAUAAAACCCUAACCUAAACGAGAAGAAUAGUGGAGCAGAGGGGAUAGCUAGUUACCGUAAGAAUCGAAGCCGGAGGUAGGAGCGCCGUUAUCGGGUUUGGCACGCUUGGCGUCGAGCGGGGGAGGAGGAGCAACGCUGAGGAGGCGAGUGGCGACUUCUUGAGCACGCUGCUUGGCAAGCUCGAUGCCGGUAGCGGGGCCGGCGGAGAAGCCGGUGGGUCUAUCGGAGGAUUGGUCUUCAUACUUGCGUUUGAGGGGCGUAGAGUCGUUGGGAGAUGAAUAGUGGGCUUCGUCCGCCAUUGGCACAAACCCUAAAGACGUUAGGUGUGUAAGAGAGGGUGGUGAUGUUAUUUAUAAUAUAUAGUGGUGGCUAGUGUGACCCCUACCAUGGGUGGGGCAGGGUAGAAAAAAAGGAGAUAUUUUGCAUCCCUUCGCUUGAGGCACCUUUACGUCAUUCAUACAAUUAUACAGAUAAAACUAUUUUUAUCUCUAUUUUUCUAUCUAUCAUCUUAUUAUUUUUAAUUUUUCUAUCUAUUUUUUAUUUUUAAGAUUUUAUAUUUAAGAUAAACAUUUUGAUAUUAUCGGUGUAUCUACUACUAAUUAAUAUUAAUUAACUUUUAAUUUUUUAUAAUUAUAUCUUGUGUUUUUAUUUAAAAUUAACAUGAUUACAUCAUCAAUAAUAAUAAAAAUAAAACUAAUUUAUGUUUAUAGAUUCAACUUUUAUGUUAUUGUAGGGUUUAAUUUUUUAUUUUCUUCAUUUUUAAAAAAUUAAACUAAACAUUUUUAAUUUACUACUUUUUUAUUUUUAUUUUGUAAAAAAUCAUUUUUUUAUUUAUUAAUUAUAUUUCUAACUAUUUAAAACAUUAAAUUAUUUUUUUAAUGCAUUCAAAAAUAAAAUUAUCAAAAAAAUUAAUUUAUUAAUUUUAAUUUUUUUACUUUUGAAAUGGUGUUAGAUAGGGAUAUAAAAAUAAAAGAGUGUUAGGUAAGAAAAUAAAGACAAGUGCGGGAAAAUAAAAAUGUAAAUAGUGUUGUUAUAUGAGGGAUUGAAUCUACAAUUCUCACUUCAUUUCAACUUUUUCGCUGUUUCUUUAAUCAAUAUUUUUUAAUAAUAUUCAUACAAAAAUAAAGGUAAUUUUUUAAUGAUAUGUUUUUUUAUUAACAAUGAUAUAUUUUAUUAAAUAAGAGUUUAUUUGCGAUAUUUUUUGUAAACUUUAUUCGGUUAAAUUGAAAAAAUUAGUAUUGAGUGACUUUUUAUGGAUUUUUAAAAUUAAAAAAAAAAAUAAAGAAGCCUAUAGGAUAAAAAUAAAUAUGUUGCUUAUGGAUUCAGUUGAAAUUAUCUUAAAGAGAAACUUUAUUUGAAUUAGUUAUAAUAAGUUUAUUUAAUUAAUGUAUUAGUAUAUUAACAAUUACCAUAUACAAUUUAGAUAUUGGCAUUCUCAUUAGUAUUUUUUUAAUAUUUUUUACCGUGAGAUCAUACAACUGAUGUAAUGGUCAAGGUUAACGGCCCCACGACCGAUAGUUCAAGUCCAGUUAUGCUCAAUCAAGGUCGACGAAGUUAAUUCGUGAUUAGGAGUCAAGUAAUGCAUCCCUAAGCAUGAUUCAGCCCCUUAACCCGACCCAAUAAAAAAAGUCAAUCAAAGAUAAUAUAAGAUUUGAUUCAAAUAUUAUAUGUGAAACUAAUAUAAGAUUUGAUUAAAAUAUUAUAUGUAAGACUAAUACAAGAUUUAUAAAUAAAAUUUAUGAACUCGACUUUAUAAAUAGAUUAAUUAUAUAUAUACUAAUAGAUGUGAACAUACAUAUUUAAAAUUAUAUAUGACUUUAACUAAAUAUUUAUUUAUUAAAAGUAUUUAUUAUUCUAGCUGAAUCCUGAUAUCGAACAACUUUUUACAAAUACUCCACACGUAUUUAGUACCAAGACUUCUUUGAUACUCUCUGUUUGAAUUGAGGUGGAAAUUUGUGAGGAAGGGAGAUAGUGAAUUGAAGAAGAUUAUGGGGAAUGUGUGAUGUUGUUUGGAUUGAGGGAUGAUAGAGUGGAUUUGUUAUGAUUGUUUAUUAAAAUUUGUAAGUGAUGAGAUAGUUAUGACAUAAUUUAGAAAUUAUUUUAAAGGUGUAAAAUGCAAAUUUACAAAUUUAUCUUUGUCAUUAAAAAAUAUUUUAAUAAUGAGUUAGGUUUUUUUUUUUUGUAAGUUUGAGUUAAUUUUUUUUCUAAUAUAUAAUAUUCAUAAUUACUCUUAUUUUGUAAUACAAAAUAAUUCCGUGUUAAAUUAAAAAAAUAUAUUAAAUAUAUUAAAAUUUAUGAAAAUAAUAUUUAUUAUUAUAUACAUUUGUUAUUUUAUAUAAUUAUAAAUGUUUUGUUGAUAUGUCAAAUAAUAUGAAUAAAUUUAGCAACUUGUUCUUCAACUAUUGAAGGAUAUGCAUCCUUAACAAGUUGCCCUAAUUCGUUUACAUAAUAUUGAAUGAAUGCUUAUGGUUACAUGCGAAUAAUGUCAUGAGAACAUCCCGUGUGCACCAAAUACUCCAUCAAUUAUUGUUUGCAAGUUGAGUAUAUAUUUUCAAUUGUUCUUAUAUUUUUUAAAUGAGAUUCAUGUUCACACGAGCAAUAUCAUUAUAAAUUGCAAUUGUAUCAUCAAAUUCUUCUUUGUCGUUUCAAAGUGGUUUCCAAUUGUUUUCGUUAUCCAUCUAAUAUUUACCUUAUCAUUGACAAUCAUAAAAUAGUUUAUCGAUACACAUCAAAUAAUUUAUGCUACGAAUAACUCUAACCACUUAAAGUUGGAGUUAGUGCAAUAGUACUAAGGUUAAUAUUAGAGUGAUGUGAAGAAUAAUGUUAAGAUUAAGACGCACUUUAAUAUUUAUAAUUAAAUCUAUAAAAAAAACACAUAAAAAUAAACAAAACAGUAAAAAUGUAAAAAAGCAAAUUUAAAUUUAAAUGAUUCACUAUAUCUUGUUAAUAAAAAAAUGUAACACUAAACACACAGUAAAAAAAAAAAAUAUAUAUAUAUAUAUAUUAAAAACAAUAAAGACAUUGAAUAAAAAAAACAGUGAACACAAAGUAAUAAGAAAAAUGUAAAUAAAUUUAUAAAAAUUAAAAAUAAUAGAUGUAAAUGCAUUUAUAAAAAACUAAAAAUAAUUACCACAUAAAAAAAAACACUAAACACCUAAAAAAAUUUAAACACAAUUAUUAAAAUUAAAAAUAGUAAACAAAUAAUAAAAAAAAUGUAAAAACAAAAACACAAAAAACACAUAAUAACAAAUAAAUAUACAAAUAUAUUUAUAAAAAAUAAAAACAGUAGUUACAUAAAUUAAAAAGACAUGAUAAUAAAAAAUAUAAAACAUUAAACAAAUAACAAAAAAAAUACAGAACAGUAAUCAAAUAAUAAAAAAUUAAACAGUAAACACAUAAUAUAAAAAAUAUAAAUACAUUUAUAAAAAUAAAAAAUUUAUAAACACAUAUAAAAACAAAAAAAAUUAAAUACAUUUAUAAAAAUUAAAAUCUGUAUGUAAACCCAUAAAAAAGCAAACAAGACAAAAAAAACCUAAGAAAAAAAUUUAAAUACAAUUAUUAAAAUAAAAAAACAAUAAACACAUAAAAAAACUAAACAGUUUCUUGUUAUUAAAAAAAAUUAAAAAACAUUAAACACAUAAUAUAUAUAUAUAUAUAUAUAAAUAUAAUUAAGAAAUAAGUAAAUACAAUAAAAUAAAAUAAAAAUAAAAAAACUAAACAAUAAACACAUAAUAAAUAAAAAAAUAGUAAAAAAACAAUAAAGACAUAAUAAUAAAAGAAAAUGUAAAUACAAUUUUAAAAAAUUAAAAAUAAUAAACUACUUUUUUUAUGAAAUACAUUUAUAAAAUUAAAAAAUAGUAAAUACAAAAAAAAAAGUGUAAAUCCAUUUAUAAAAAUUAAAUACAGUAAACACAUAAUAAAUAAAAAAGUCAAAUAUAUUUAUAAAAAUUAAAUACAAUAAAUACAUAAGAAAAACUAAACAAUAGUACAAAUGCAACAAAAAAAUGUAAAUACAAUUAUUAAGAUUAAAAACAGUAGACAUAUAAAAAAAAUAAACAGUAUCUUGUUAAUAAAAAAGAUAUAAAAACAAUAAAGACAUAAUAACAAAUAUAUAUAUAAAAAUUAAAAACAAUAAAACAUAGAAUAAAAAAAACAACAAACACAAAAUAAUAAAAAAUAUAAAAACAGUAAACAAAUAAUAAUAAAAAUAUAACUUUUUUAUAAAAAAUAAAAACAAUAAACACAUCAACAAAUGUAAAUGCAUUUAUAACAACUAAAAAUGGUAUUAUUAAAAUUAAAAAUAAUAAACACAUAAAAGUAAUAAUAAAAAUGUAAAACAUUAAACACAUAAUAAUAUAAAAAAACAUUAAAGUUAUAAAAUAAAAACUAAACCGUAAACAUAAUAAUAAAAAUAUUUAAUUACCUUAUUCGUCCCUAUAUUUGGGGUCAAUAUUCAAUUUGAUACCGUGGUUUUUAAAAAAAUCAAUUUGGUACCGUGAUUUAAAAAAUAAUCAAUUUGGUCCCUAUGUCUUUUAAAAUGUAUCCAAAUUGGUCUUUCCGUUAAAUCCCUCCUAACAGCUAACAGCGUAAGGUGUUGCUUAUGAUAAAGAGAAUGUCUAUAUGGGGAGAGAGAUGUGAGAUUAUUAUUAUUAUUAUAGUUAUUAUUAAUACUAUUAUUAUUAUUGUUAUUUUUAUUACUAUUAUUAUUAAUAUUAUUUUUCUUAAUAUUAUUACUAUUAUUGAUAUUUUUAUUACUAUUAUUACUAUUAAUAUUAUUUUUCUUAAUAUUAAUAUUAUUAUUAUUACUAAUAAAAAAUAAAAUAAAAAUAGUAAUAAUAAUAAUAUUAAGAAUAAUAAUAAGAAAAAUAAUAUUAAUAAUAAUAAUAAUAAUAGUAAUAAUAAUAUUUAUAUUAAGAAUAAUAAUAAUAAUAAUAAUAAUUCUCAAUCUCACCUCUCCCUCCACAUAAACACUCUAUCUCCCACAUAAACACUCUCUCUAACCCACAUUCUUUCUGUGUCACAUAAGCAACACCUACGCUGUUAGGUGGAACUUAACGGAAAUGACCAAUUUGGAUACAUUUUAAAAUAUAUAGGGACCAAAUUGAUUUUUUUAAAAACCACGGUACCAAAUUGAAUAUUGACCCCAAAUGUAUGGACGAAUAAGGUAAUUAAAUAUAAUAAAAACUGUAAAACCAAUAAACACAUAAUAAUAAAAAAGAAAAGUAAAUACAUUUAGAAAAAUAAAAAACUGUAAACACAAAAUAUAAACUAAACAAUAAAUACAUAUAAAAGAGUAUAAAUAUUGUACUGUUACAGUCUAUAGGACUGAUAGCACGUCUCGAACUUCGUCACUGGAUCGACCGAGUCCCUAUGGCCUGUAUCUAUAAGGGCAAUCGAAAUCAUGAUUCCAAUUACUCUCCAGCAAGAUCAGCAAGGCUAAUCCAUGAUUAGGAGCUAGGUAAUGCAACCCUAAUCACGGUCCAACUCCCUAAUCCAACCCAACAAGAGAAAACUCGUCAAAGGUAAUAUAAAUAACACAUAUUCUAAGGAUCAGGUACAUUAUCUACCGUGCUCUAGCUAUCGAGUGUCGAACCCUUUUGUUGACUUUAGCGUCAAAGUGUCUUCUGCAUGUACUCUCAUUCGGUACUCACGAGACGACCGAGAACCGAGGCUAGGAAGGAAAGGAGAGGAACGAGUAAGAAAGGAAGUUGAAGAGUAGCACAACCGACCCAUAAAAAAGAAGAAGACGAGUUCUCUCAAUAGUUUUUUAGGCCCCAUCCCCGAACGAAAAUAAAUACAUUUAUUAAAAAUAAAAACAGUAAACAUAAUAAAAAAAUAGUUACCACACUUAAUAGAAAAAAACUCUAUAUAAAAAAAAAUUAUUAAAAACUUACGUGAAGGUGAAGGCAGAGAAGAAACCGUGUGAUAAACAUAACCAACCAAAGAACCACUGCAAUCAGACACAAGAAGAUGAACCAAGAUCCAAUCUGAAAAAAAAAAAAAAAACAGAAUGAAUUCCAAUAUUUUUCUCAAAUAAUGACUGAUAAGAUUAAUAAAAAAACUCACACAAAAAUUAAAAUAAAAUGCAACAAUUGUUAUGAUUUAAAGAAGAGGACGGCAACGAAUUUUCGAAACUUUAGACGAGUAAAAAGAAACGAGAUAGGUGAAUUAUAUAGCAAAACCUUUUACUAUAAUAGUAAAACAAAAUUAAGAAAAAAUGUUUAAUUAUUUAUUUUUUAUAUUUUAUUAAAGAAGGAAAUAAAUGGUUAUGUAUGGAGAGGGAAAAGAAUGAAAUUUGGGGAGGAAGGAAUAUGAGAGAAGAAAAGGAAAAGGAUAAAGUGUUGGAAGUGAGGAUUAAUUAUUUCUUAAUUAGAUAUUUAUUUAAAAAUAAUAGAAAUUAAUUUAAAAAUUAAAAAAGAAAAAUUUAAAUAAUUUUUAAUUUAUUUAAUAUUGUAAUUAAUUAUUUUGGUAUUUAAAAGUUGUUUUUUAUUUGAUGAUUGUCUUGUAGUAAUAGAUGACAAACCAUUAUAAUAUUAUAAUAAUAUUUUAUUUUAAAAAUUAAAUUAAAUUAUUAAAAUAUUAAUUUAUUUGUUUGUGAAAUUAUACUGUAUAUAGUGUCCACAUAUCACCAAUCAUUUAAAAUUCUCUACAUCACAAUUUACUGUCUUUUUUGUUUAGUAUGUGAAUUUAUCAGCUUAUUGUGAUUUUAGUUUCUCAAUUUACCCACAUCCCAGGUUAAUAUCUUUUUAAUUCCUAAAAUUAGUUACACAAUGUCAAUUAAGAGAUUAAAGUAGAAAUAAAAUGCUAAAUUCAGAAACUAAAAUACUCAUAAAUAAUUAAAUUCGGAGCUAAAACGAUAAAAUACAGUAAAGUCUGGGAUAAAAAAUUAAUAAAUAAAUAAUGAUAAAGUUAUAGUUUUACCUUAAUUUUUGAAUUUUAGUACUUUCAAAAACUGUUCUUUACCUGUUUUGUGCGACCAACUUAGCACACUGUUGUGUUUCGCGGCUGGGCUGCUUCAUUUCUCUACCACCACCAACAACCAUCGUCUUGUCACCUCAGAGUCAUCUACAGUUGUUCUUGGGGAUUUUGUGUUUUCAUUCACAUUUCACACUUACAUUAAAGGUAAAAACGAUUUUGAAUAUAUAGAUUUUGUUUGCAUAUUGCACCCAUUUUCUUUGUAUUCUUGGCACUGGCUUUUACUUUUUGGAAAAAGGGUUUGUCUCUAACAACGUGAGAAACUGUUGGAAUACCUGUUGGGAGAGAUUAAGCAUAGUGUUUGAAGCAAAAUUGUAUCUUGGAAUGGGAAACAAAAAGUUUAGACAACAGGGUUAACAAAACAAUACUCAUAUCCAUUCUCUCUAUAUUGGUUGUCAUGUACCUGGGUCUGAACAGUUAUACUAUGUUGCAUCUCAGUUCAAAAUGGUCAAAUUUUUCAUUUUCAUCAAUGUCAUUUGUUAUCAAUGUCAUGAUAUUUAGUUUCUCCAUUUGUUGUGUUUAAUGUUUGCUUUAUGAAAACAAGAGAGAUUUAUUCAUUAAUGCUAAGUAGUUAACUCUCUAUGGACUGUAGUAAUCUAAACAGUUUAGCUUUUUCACUUUCCAUUAUCAGUCCUUCUACACCUCUUUCUUCCAAGUCUUGCUACCAUGAAAAGUAGACAUGUCUAUAAUUAUGUGGUUCUGCAUCUAAAUUAUAAUAUAACACUAUAUUAAUAAAUUAGUUUCCAAAAUUAUGGAUUCUAGUUAAUUAGUAUAUGAAAUUGUAAAAGUAUAAUUGGAGUCAUCAAAGUUGGAGGAGUCAUUAUAAUAUUUCAGUACAAGAAUUAAAUUGGCUAAUGAUCUAGAACUAAAUUAUUUGUCAUUUUUUUAAUAUCUAGAAUUCAUAUAACAUUUUAUAAAUUAAAAAAAAACCAUAUGUAUAAAUGAUUUUAUUCAACAAGAGAAUCAUUAAUAAUGUAUUCUUUGUUCACCUCUGGACUCUGUCACUCUAUGUGUGUAUGUGUGUAUACACAGUCAAUUUUAAAUUUUAAAUAUGGUUUUAAUUCUUGUAAUCUACUUUCUGAUAUGUUUCUGGUCACUCUACACAAACUCAGCUUAUCUCUCAAUCUUAAAUAAUUAUGAUUUAAUUUACUGUUUAAAGAAAAAAAUCAGUUAAGUUGUAAAAAAAAAUUGUAUUGUUUUUUUCAUUUUUUUUUUAAAUUUUUAGAAAAUUAAACCAAAUUUUCUUUAAUUAUUUACUUUUAUUUUUUCAUCUUUUGUCCUGAACUUUAAUUGUAGAAUGUCCUAAAAAAACUAAACUCUGGAGAGCAUUAUUAAAAAGAAAAAAGGGAGAGAAUUGGUUGCUUGCUCGCGAAGUAUGAGGGUCUAAACAAAGUUAUAAUACUAUAUUUCCCAUUAUGAAUCUUUUAAAGAAGCAUUUUGUUUCAGUUUAUCGUAUACUCUUGGUUGACAAGUUUGUGAAGGAAAGGCCCCGAACACACAUUCAGAGCUUUAUUCACCAUUACUUCAAGGUAAAAGUUCUGAAUCAAAACCUCAUAUAUCUUUCUUCUGUAUCAAGUACAUGUUCUGUAAAUUGUUUUCUAUGACUGACUUCACUUGUUUUGAAUUUGAACACAUUUUAGAAUCACUUGAAAGAAAAUGGCAGAACAAAAUAAGGAAUGGGCUGUGGGAAUUGACCUUGGCACAACAUACUCAUGUGUUGCUGUAUGGCUAGAGGAACACUGUCGAGUGGAGAUAAUUCACAAUGAUCAGGGCUGUAGAACAACGCCUUCAUCUGUGGCUUUCACAGAGAAUCAAAGAUUGAUCGGUGAUGCUGCUAAAAAUCAGGCUGCUAUUAACCCAACUAACACUGUCUUUGGUAAAUAAUUGCUUUUUAUUGCAUGUGAAUUCAUUUAAAUGUUUAAACUAGUUAUUUGUGUUGGCUUUUAGUUGCAAAUGAUACCUUAACAUUCAUCAUUUACUUUGUGCCAAAAAGUAUACUUUUUGUCCAGUACUCUAAUUUGUUCUAUAACUUUAAAUUAAUAAAUAUCAUUCCAUAAGACUAUUUUGAUUAGCAUCAUUGAGGAAUAGCCUUAAAUUCGUGCUCGAUUAAUGACUAAUUUUGCAGAUGUGAAAAGGUUAAUCGGCAGAAGAUACAGUGAUCCCAUUAUCCAGGACGAUCUAAAGUUGUGGUCAUUUAAGGUCAUUGCUGAUUCUGAUGACAAACCCAUGAUAGCUGUUUCAUACAAAGGUCAGGAGAAACACAUUUCAGCUGAAGAAAUCUCAUCUAUGAUCCUCACAAAGAUGCGGGAGACUGCAGAAGCGUACUUGGAAUCAGGGGUUAAGAAUGUUGUGGUUACUGUGCCUGCUUAUUUUAAUGACUCUCAGCGACAAGCAACCAAAGAUGCUGGUACCAUUGCUGGCCUCAAUGUCAUGCGGAUAAUCAAUGAACCCACAGCUGCAGCUCUGGCAUACGGCCUUGACAAGAGAGCAAAAUGUGUUGUUGGAGAGAGAAAUAUUUUCAUCUUUGAUCUUGGUGGUGGUACAUUUGACGUGUCUCUGCUCACAAUCAAGGGUGAUGUCUUCAAAGUCAAGGCCACUGCUGGUGACACGCACCUUGGAGGAGAGGACAUGGAUAACAGAAUGGUAAAGUACUUCGUUGAGGAGUUCAAGAGGAAGAACAAAGUUGACAUCAAUGGGAACCGGAGAGCCUUGAGGAGGUUGAGAACUGCUUGUGAGAGAGCAAAAAUAAUAAUAAUAAUUGAAUGCGGACUGACCCACAAACUCAUGGGCCAGCACUUAUGCAGAGCGAGACCGAAAAUCACUCGUGCAAGAUUUGAGGAGCUCAACUUGGACCUCUUUAAAAGGUGUAUGGAGACAGUAGAUAUGUGUCUUGUUGAUUCUAAGAUGGACAAGAGUGAUGUAGAUGAUGUUGUUCUCGUUGGUGGUUCUUCUAGGAUUCCCAAAGUGCAACAGCUAUUGCAAGACUACUUCAAGGGGAAGGAACUGUGCAUGAGCAUCAACCCUGACGAGGUUGUUGCUUAUGGAGCAGCAAUUCCCAACUUAGUGUUAUUAGAUGCUACACGGCUGUCACUUGGUAUAUCUUUAAAAGGAGAUCUCAUGAGUGUUGUGAUUCCUAGGAACACCACCAUUCCUGUUGAGAAGAAAAAAGUAUAUGUUAAGAUCAGAAGAUUUCCCAAUCUUAUGUCCAAAGUAAAGGUUUACGAGUGUGAAAGGACAAUAGCAAGUGAUAACAAUUUGCUUGAUUUUUUUAAUCUUUAUGGCAGUCCUUAUGCUCUUUGAGGCCAUCCUUUAACUGUAAGUUUCAGUAUAGAUGUUGAUGGUACUUUAAGUGUAAUUGCUGAGGAAGAAAGCAGUGGAAGUAAGAACGGGAUUACUGUAACCAACGACAAGGGAAGACUAUCAACUCAACAAAUUAUGAGAAUGAUUCAAGAUGCCGAGAUAUACAAGGCUGAAGACCAGAAGUACCAAAAGAAAGUUCAAGCAAUUGAUGCUAGCCAGCAGACAGAAACAGAGGUGUUUGUGGAUCAUCUGAAUGAGGUGAAGAGCCUCAUUGAACUCAUUAUGAGGAUUAACUAGUUUGUUUCAAAACUCAAAUUUGGAAAAUCGAUUAUGCUUCUUGAAAAACAUCACAAUCGAUUUUUUAAAUUAUUCUGAAUGUAUAGUGUUGAUAAAAAAAAUAAGAUAAACCAGUUAUUUAGUUUCUCAAACCACUUUUCUUGUUCCUCAAAGCACGAGCUCUCUCGUUUUGUUCUAGGAAGAAGAGCAAAUCACAACAAACAAAACUAUCACAAAACUAAUUUUAUUUAUACACAAAGUUCACGUUCAUGAGUCUACAAUUUUUUUGUCAAGAUUCUUUUGCACCCAGCACUGUAAAGAAGAAAACCGAAAACUCAUUCACAUGCAGAUGCCUACAUUGUUUAAUAUAUUUGAUGGAAGGGUAACAAAAUAAAUUAGUAUUUGUGCUUCUAUAUUCCGCGCAAAUCUUCUCAGUUUUAUGAAGAGUGAAAAAACUAUCUACCCUGCUCUCCCAUCCGCACUCACACUCUCAUAUACACUCAUCCAAACAAAAACUCUUUCCACUUCCCUUCCUCCUCUUUUGUCACACCUUGAAGCAAAUAGGAUGUAAGAUUGAGGACAUGCAAAUGAACAAGAUUACGUGAACCUUCCUAACCCAUUAGACAUCAUAUGAUAGUUUUAUUUAUAUAUUGAUUUGAUCUAUUUAGAAAAAAUGUCAAAUCUAAGCAUUUAUAAGCAAAGUUGGAAGUUUUUAGAAAAUAGUAGGCUUGAACCUCUUUUAAGUUAUAGUAUUUUUUUUUUUAUGCUAUAUCAAUAUUAUAUGAGUUAAAAUUGUUUUAAAUAAUUUUCAUUUUUGAGAUCCAUCUAAUACUCCAAACCAAACAAGCAUUAUCAACAAUUCCAUUUUUAUGCAAAAUUCAUCCAUAGAUAAAAAUAAAACAUGCAACAAAAAUAACUAACUGAAAAAUAAAUUAUACACCAUAAUAACUUUAUAUUAUCAUACAAUGACACAGUGUAAAAUAAAGAUAUUAACUUUUACUAUUAUCAAAACUUUAUCUGCCAAACGUUUAAAAUCAAACAAUUUCAACAAAAUCUUUAAAUUUUAUUGGACUUUCCUCAUCUGUAUCUAUUUCUACAGAAAUGGCUUUAACUGCUUACUCGUAUUAACAGCUACUUUCGUAUAAAAUAUAUGUUGACAAAUUAUUCAUGGGCAUAAUUUAUUCUAAAUUUUUCACCAAACACUUGCAAAUAUCACUCAAUUCACAAGAUAAACCGGGCCAUAAAUUAUCUAUUCCAGACGAAACCAUGAAGCAUAAAAUUGACAACUGAAAGUAGCUAAAUAAACUAAAAGUUCAUGAAAAUCGAGAGUUAUUUUCGUAACUUCAGAUAAGCCUUUUUCAAAAGCGAUAAAAAUGAACUCCUACUCAACCGUACAAAAUACUAAAAAUGUAGAAAAUAUCAAUACACCAAUUCUUCCAUCUUAACAAUGCAAUGCUACAUAGUAUCACUAGCAAAAUAAAACCGGUAAAACACAACUAAAAAAAAAGAUAGUCCCAGGGAACAGCAAGGGGACAAAAAUAUCAACUCUGAGGCGAUGCUUUAGCAACGGCAGUCUGAGGCUGAGUGUUCCCACUGGCAUUACCAUCGGCAGUAUAUGCUGGAGCCUGAGUAUAACCAGCACCAUAAGAACUACUGCUGUAUGGAGGCGGUGCCUGACCAUAAGUAGGCUGGCCACCCUGAGGUGCACCAUAUGUUUGAGAACCAUACCCUGGUUGCCCUGCACCAUAUCCCGAAGGUGGUGCUCUCUGAGCACCAGAUUCUGGUUGGGGUUGAGAAUAACCAGAUGGUGGAGGCUGCGCAGGAUAUGCUGACUGACCAUAGCCUCCUACCGCACUAGGUGACUGUGACUGUCCAUAAACAGGAGGAUUAGCACUUGGCUUUUGAGAUUGAGGGGCUCCAUAACCUGGCUGUGGUUGACUUCCAUAAGCAGCUUGGGAUGUAGGGGGAACCCCAUAACCUGACUGAGGAGUUCCCUGAGGUGGGUAGCUGGCAGUGUUUGAGCUGGGCUGUUGGCUGGUAGGAUAACCUUGCUGUGGCUGUUGGGUAGAUGGAGCUUGGGCUGAAUCUCCCUGAGAUGCAUAACUUGCAGUGUGGCCAUCUGGUGCUGAGUUAUUCCCACUACCAUAGCCGGUAGUAGCUGACCCAUAGCCUUGCUGCUGAUCAUAUGCUGGUGGCUGUCCAUACCCUGAUUGAGAUUGUGCAUUGUAUGCAUUAUAGCUGUCCUGAGCAUAACCCUGUCCGGGUUGGCUAUAACCAAAAGAAGGUGGUUGACUGUAACUGUAAGCAGAGCCAUCCGCUGGAGGUGCAGGGCCUCCAGGAUUUUGCGGUUGCUGUGGCUGUUGACUAUAGUAAUCAUAGCCACCAGCUUGAGUAGACUGUUGGUGAGGUGGUGCAGAAGACUGGUCCCAGCUGGUGGAAUAUCCACCUGGUUGUUGAGGAGGAUAGCCUGCAUAAGGUGGUUGAGGCAUAUUAUACUGAGGUGAUGGACCAGAAUAUGCUCCAGGUUGCAUAUAGCCAUAACCAGGUUGCUGCAUUUGAGCAGGGGGAGCCCAGUUCGAGGGUGGUCGAGAUUGGUAGCCUUGCUGAGGAUAUCCACCAGACAUUGAAGGAUUUCUAACACGAUUCUGUGGAGACAAAUUCAAACCAAAUAUGAAGAGUGAAUUCACCCAAGUUUCCACAUUUCGAGUACAGAAAUCAACAGAUGCACACACAUACACAGGUUAAACUUACGCAGUUAAGAAUAAACAUGAAGAACACAAGAUAAAGUAUACAAGUUGCAUAAAAAGAUUGCAUACAAGAAUAGAAAGGGAUAUAUAUACCAACAUACCGUACUGGUUCGUGAUAAAACUGAGUUACUCCAGCAGCACACCUUUUCCCUAUUCGAAUUGAAUGGGUACAAAAGGAAGCACAGACCAAAGAAGCAGACAAGCAUACAAUUUGAAUUGCUUAAAAAGGCAAUCCAUCAUAUAGUAUCACAAAAUAUGUAUGAUCUUAUCUCAAUUAUUACACCAUAUAAUAUAUUCUUCAUAAUCAUAUUAAUUCAACUAGAGUAUCAGGACUACAAAUAUUUUACUGCAUAUGAUGAAGGAGUAACCAUAAAUAUACAGACUGUCAAGACCACUUCCCUGUUCUCCCAUGUACCUCCUUUUAACCUUUGUUUAACCCACUCUAACAGGUUAACCUCAAAGGAUUAUAAAAUAAAAGAAAAUUAAAUUAAAUAUUAUUUGAGUAGAACAGGAAUUGAAAAUAGGGACCUGAAAAUGUAUUUAAUGUGUGUAACUCGAGCGUCAAAACUAUCAGUUAAAGGGCACAAGAUUAAGAAAAACAGUUGAAUGAUAAGACAGAUAAAAAGUGGGCAUGGGCUAUAGAAAGGCAAUGAUGCCACAAGAAAUGAACAACCCACUACACACAUCCGAAACAACAGACGGAUCAUAAAAGAAGUCUUGACACAUAACUUGUUAGUUUAAACAAUUAUAACUAUAAAUUGAUGAAGUAAUAGUAUAGGAAAGUUAUUUUUCCUCACAAUAGCAACUACAGGUUAUUAUGCCAAAUGUAAGUCCAGCAUAAGACACAAAUAUAAAAUAUUUUUUCAAAUAUAUGAAGUUUUUACGAAUUAACUAAAAAGCACAAUUGGCAUGGUUGAAAAGGAUUUCAACACAAUAAUCAAUAUAGUUUAGUAAGGACACUGUAAGUAAAAAAAUGUAUCAAUAGGAGACUUACUGCCCUUGAUAACAAUUAUCAAAACUGAGAUUUAGAACCAUACCAGGGCAUGAUGAGGGAACACCAACAAAGGAAUUCAUGUUGGUGUCACCAAUGGUCCAAUAGACACUAUAAUCCUACAAUAGUCCCAAUAACAAGAUCAGUCAUAGGAUACACAGUUAAUAAUAUUCCAUUGUUGAACAGGCUAUAAUCCCAAUGAGAAUCCACUUGGACAAAAAAAUGUCAUAAUAAUAGUAGCCUUCAUGGCCCCCAGCAACCUAGCCCACAAAAGCGUUGAAAGACCCACCACACUAAUGAACUGGGCCAUGAGAAAAACUUUACCACAGUUAAAACAGUCUUUGCAAGAUCUUGGCAUCUUGGGGAGAAAAGACAAUCCAAUUCGAAAAUAAUCCCAUUAAGGUCCUCACUUUCUGUAUGUAUAAAAAUCGGUAUGAUUUAUUAUCUAAUAAUAUAGCAGAUAACAAUGACACACAAACACAUAUAGACACAGUUUUUUACCAUUGACCUAAGCUAAGACCAAACUAAAGAUACUGAUCUGUGAAUAUGGUACUACUAAAUCAGGACCCAAUUCAUGAACAUACCAUACAUUUGUUAACACCAUAAUAUAGCUGAUAAAUAUCAUGGAUACUACAGUGGCUUGUCUCCCUAAUCAUGUCUGUUUUUGGUGAGCAAAUGCAACUAAGCGGAGGACAAUUGGAGAUUACAAGUAAAAACAUCAUAACAUCAAUUGGCAAUUCAGUGUGUUUUGUUUUAAAGUUGGGAAGUCUCAAACGGAAGUUGAACUCAUUCAGACUAGAGAGAUGGAUUGGAGUGUGUAACUGUUAAACAAGCACACAAUUUAUCUUCCACCAUUUUGCAUUUUUUUAUACUAGUCUUGAAACAAAACUAUGCACUAAUUCUCUUCCAGGAACAAUACAACAAGUAACAGACAUCCAUCGAUAUAGAUGUAUCAAUUAUCAAAAGAUUACUUGUUGAAUAUACUUACAGCUGAAGAAACAGUGCUUAUUUAAACAUAUACUUACAGCUAAAAAGUCAAUUUAAUCAGGAGAUCAAUGAAUUCAGAACAUAUAAGUUGAUUGAUAAUGCUCACGAUAUGAAGUAAUAUCAUUAAUAAGAUCAAUGAAUUGAUAAACAUGGACGUAAACAUCAUUUAUGCCAACUAAGGUGAAAUCAUCACAUAAUUUACCAAAUUAUUCUCUCCCAGCAAUGAAACAGAAUAAAUUAUUGAAGACAAUCCAAAACUCGUCUAACAUGUUAAUGAAUCCAUCAGUUCUAGUUUUAUAUUUUAUUUUAACAUCAUACCAAAUAACAAAGUUCUAGUUCUAAAUUUUAUUUUAAUAACAUACAAAAAUAACGAAGACCCAGGAGGCAAUUACAAGUGCACAAUAUCAUCCUUACAAUCACAUAAAGUCACCAAUGUGAUCAAAUAAACAUUCUAAAAGAUGAUUAUAUAUCAGCAACAAAAAGAAAACAGAACCGAGUACAAAAUCCACAAUUUAAACACUAAACUGUACUUCGCACAAGGCAGGCAUGACAUGCUAAGCCAAAUGUAUCCACCAGAGAAAAUUUUUAACAUACCUCACCACUGAUGACUUGAUUAACCAACUGCUUUGCAGACUCAAUUUGCUCAGAAGUCCCAUCAAUUUUUAAUGUUCUUUCAGUUGAUGUGUCACCUGGGGGAAGAUGAAGUGGUAUCACCUGGAAAAAUAUAGACAUUAGUAUAAAGUGACUCCAGAGGAAUUUCCAAGCCUCGAGUGUCAGAAGUUAUCAUACUCUUUCAUAUUAGCAGUAAUCACAAAGCCACAGUAAAAAAACAUAUCACGAAAUCCAAGCAACUAUGAUUUAGCACCUAUGUCUAAUACACAAUGAAGACAACAAUAUACUCUUUAUGACUUAGAAGUGAAAACCUGAAUCCGUGCACCAGUAGAAGCUUGCAUAUUCUUUAUAGUUUCUCCUCCUUUACCAAUUAUAAGACCAACCUGAAGAUGCAUACAACAAACUAUAUCAACCAAAUCAAUAACACAGAAAUGAAUUAAAACAUUGCACAAAUCUUAAGAUUAUACAAAUCUUAAGAUUAUACAAAUCUCCUUUUUCAGACCUUAUUAUUUGGGAUUUUCAUGACAAAUUCAUCGGACCCAGCUUGUCCAGUCAGUCUCCGAGCAACAAUGCCAGAACCCCCAGAUUCAGCCUGGUACAGAAACAAUUCACGCCAGAUAUAUGUUAAUAUUAAAUCUUCGAGGAAAUUCAUUCGGAAACUAUUCAUGUUAUUCAUAUUAUUACAACUAUCAUUCGGACAACAUCUGAGAUAAUUACACAAAUAUCCCCACAUGCAUAAUUUGCAGAAAAAAAAAACUAAUAAUGAUGCGUGAAACCUCAGCAAGAACUUCAUUGAUGAGUUUCUCAGCAGAGGCAAUUGCCUCGGGAGUGCCCAUAAGCUCAACCGUCCUAGUAGUGGAAUUAGGGUCCGCGUCCAUAUCACGAGUAACUUGAAUUUUGGCACCAGACUGCAACUGGAGAUACUUAAUGGUCUCUCCAGCUUUGCCAAUAAUCACACCAACCCUGCCGUUAGGGAUAUCAAUCUUCUUACUCGUUCCUUGUUGACUGUAGGAAACGGGAGGAAUGGCCGAGUACUGAGGCUUCGCAUCUACGUUCACAGAAAUCAGAGUGUAUAAAACCCUAACCUAAACAAGAAGAAGAGUGGAGAAGAGAAGGAUAUUUAGUUACCGUAAGAAUCGAAGCCAGAGGUAGGAGCACCGUUAUCGGGUUUGGGACGCUUAGCAUCGAGCGGGGGAGGAGGAGUAACGCUGAGGAGGCGAGCGGCGACUUCUUGAGCACGCUGCUUGGCGAGCUCGAUGCCGGUAGCAGGGCCCGCUGAGAAUCCGGUGGGUCUGUCGGAGGGUUGGUCUUCGUACUUGCGCUUGAGGGAUGCCGACUCGGUUCCCGAUGAAUACUGCGCUUCCUCCGCCAUUGGCACAAACCCUAGCCACUCGCGUUACCUGUGUAGGGAGAGCGAGAUAUUUUACUUCGCUUGGGCAACCAAAAAUCACAAGGUGUCUCUACGUCACGGUUGUAAGAAGAAAUUAUAUUUAAAGACAAAUUUUAUUUUCAGAUAAUUGUAAUAUAUUUAUUAUGCAUUACUUCUCCCUUCUUCGAUUAGGCAUUUUAAUAUUUCCUUUCUUUUUUAUAUAUCAUUUUACACUAUACUUUCAAAACUAUUUAAAAAAAAAUCAAUGACUCAAAGUAUCGUCUCUUUUUUAUCAUUGUAAGUAUAUUUGAAAUUUUAUGUCUAAUACUUUUCAUUUAUUUUCUCUCAUUUAUAUAUAUAUAUGAUGAUGAACUUCAACAAUUUCUAUUAUAAACAUAAAUUGUUAAACUAAUUUUAUAGUACAAAGUUUAGCUUUAAUGUAUAACUUAUAUAUUAAAAUUGUACUGUGUGCACUACGACUAACCACACAUUUCACUUUCCACCAUUGGAUCGACUGAAGAUAAGGUCUUCAUAGUGGGUCGACCAACAACUCAAAUCCAAUUACACUUAAGCAGAGUCAGUGAAGUUAAUCUACGAUUAAAAGUUAGGUAAUGUAUUCUUAAACAUGGUCCAACUCCCUAAUAUGGCACAAUAAGAAAUACCCAUUAAAAUAAUAUACAUAGCCCACAUUCCAAGAUUCAGGUACGUCAUCAUAUACAGUGCUCUGACAACUGAGCGUUGAAUACCUUUACUGACUUGAGUGUCAGAGUGUCUUCUGCAGAUACCAUCCGAGUCUGGACUACGAGAAGACUGAUAGGUGAGACGAGUAAGGGGGAGUAAGGAGGGAAGCUGAAGUGCAAUCCGACCGAUAGACUAAGGAAGGAGAAGAGUGAUCUCAAUAGUACUCUGGGCCCUGACCCCGUUCGAGAACUAUUGACGCCCACCGUGGGGCCGAGAGAAUUCGUGUGAAGAGCGUUAGUAGAUGGUAUCAACCCGCAGCAUGGCAAGUGAGAGGAUUACCGAAGUUGAGCAGAUGAUGUUGUUGAUGUCUCUACAAAGAGAGAUGGUCGAGAUGAGGAGGAAGAAUGAAGAGGUUAACAAGAAGAAUGAGGAGGAGAUUCUAGCCCUUAUGAGGGAGAACACGGAGAUGAAGAGAAGUUUGUCGAGGGGGACCGUCUAUUGUACUGACUAACCUCGUCGGUAGGUCGUUCACCUCCCCUCGCGACCCAAAAAUAGUUGAGGAGACCAAGAACAAGGUCCUUCUCAAGAGAUGGAUGGCAAGUCCCAUCCAAACAAGUCAAUCCACACAAUUGGGACCUCAGAUUCAGUGCAUCGACAUCCCUUUACCGAUUAUGUAAUUGAGGUACCACUACUGGAUAAGUGGAAAGGCUUCAAUAAGGAUCGUUAUGACGGCACAACCGACCUAGAUAAGCACAUGGAUGAGUACAGUAUACCACAUGGUUGGCCAACGUGGUCAUGGUUACCAAGUCUAAUGACAAGUGGAGGAUGUGCGUCGACUAUACGAACCUCAAUAGGGCCUACCCGAAGGAUUCGUAUCCGCUUCCUAACAUCAAUUGGUUGGUAGAUGGAACAACCGUCCACAAAAUCCUAAGCUUCUUGGAUGUUUACUCUAACUACAACCAGAUAAGCAUGCACCAUUGGGACAAGGAGAAAUUUGUCUUUAUAAUUGACGACGCCAACUAUUACUAUGAGGUGAUGUGGUUCGGUGUAAAGAACGCUGGAGCAACCUACCAGCGGCUCAUGGAUAAGAUCUUUAAGGGACUUAUCAGUCGGUGUGUGAAGGUUUAUGUGGAAAACAUAGUGGUCAAGUCUGACUCGUGUGACCAACACAUCAAGGAUCUUAAAGAGGUGUUCGAAGCGAUGAGGUGGGCGUACAUGAGGCUCAAUCUAGAAAAGUGUGCAUUCGGUGUUGAGGGUAGUAAGUUCUUGGGUUUCAUCCUAAUCCAUCAGGGGAUAAAAGCCAAUAUGGACAAAUGUCGAACGAUCACAGAGAUGCGGAGCCCUCAGAACAUAAAGGAAGUUCAGUAGCUCAUAAAGCGUCUUACCGCCCUCUCUAGGUUCGUCCCUCAAUUGGUCGAGAGGACGAGGCUGAUGGUGCAGCUACUCCGCAAGAUAGCUAAGUUCAGUUGGUACGAGAAGUGUGAAGAAAUUUUUCAACAACUGGAGGAUUUCUUAUCCUCGUCAGUAGUUAUCCAGAAGCUUAGACCCGACCAACCCAUUCUGGUGUAUCUGUCAGUCUCCGAAAAGGCUUGCAACGUUGUGCUGGUUUAAGAAGUGGUGAUCUCCUUUUGGACCAAGCUCUCUAGUUUGGAUUUAAGGUCACCAAUAACCAAGCCGAGUAUGGGGUUAUCCUAGCCGAGCUAAACUUGUCGUAUGACAUGAGAGCUCACGAGGUAACUUGCAAAAGCGACUCCCAGGUAGUGAUCGAUCAAAUCAAAGGAGAGUUCGAAGUAAAGGAACCCUUGCUCCAGAGAUAUUAUCAUACGGUCGACAACCGCACAACCCGGUUUCAAAAAGUGCGGUGGAACACAUCCGUCGGCAUGAAAACAAGAAAGCCGAUGCAUUGUCUCAGCUACUGACGACCAAGAAGAAGAGCCACCACAAGUCUGUCAUGCAAAUUUGGCUAAGACAACCUAGUGUGGCAGAAGCCGAGUGCCUAACUGUUACUGAGACCAAGACUGGGAUGACCCCGAUCGUCCAGUACCUUAAGCACGACACGUCCAAAUCAGACGAGGAAAAGGCGAUGAAGCAACAAUGUUCAAGGUACACUAUGAUCAACCAGUAUCUCUACGCAGGAUCAAUGUUCAAGGUACAUUACUCAAGGUCAUUACUAAAGUGCAUCACCAAAGAACAGACAGAGUACGUCCUCAAGAAAAUCCAUGAAGGAGUUUGCGACAAUCAUUCAAAAGCACAAACGAUGGUUAUCAAAAUCCUCAAGGUCGGUUACUACUGGCCGACCGUCCAGGGUGACUAUGCAUAAUUUGUGAAGAAAUGCGUCAAGUGCCAAGAGUUCGAUCGUCUGCACCACCUUAAGCCAUAAGCGAUGCAUAGUAUGACAUCCCCAUGGUCGUUCUCCAUCUGGGAAUGGACAUCAUUAGUCCUUUCACUCCGGGGAAGGGGCAGGAAAAAUUAUUCCUAGUCGGAGUGGACUACUUCAUCAAAUGGAUCGAGGUCGAAUCGCUCACAUCCAUCUCGGUGAAAAACGUGCAAAACUUCAUAUGGAGAAGUAUUGUGUGUCGGUUUGAAGUGUCGCACACUAUAAUAACUGAUAAUGACCAACAGUUCAUCGAUCGAGGACUUUAGUCUUUCUAUGAUGACCUUGGUAUCAAGUCAAUAACCAGCUCGGUCGAGCAUCCCCGAAUCAACGGGCAGGUCAAAGCUGCAAACAAGGUCAUUUGAACAAAUUGAAACAUCAACUCGAUGGACCGAGGAACUACUGGAAUUUCUGUGGGCAUAUCGUUGCACCCCCAAACAUCCACACAAGAAUCACCGUACAACCUAACGUAUGGAACUAAAGUUAUGAUCCCGGUUGAGAUAGGCGAGUGAUGAGCAUAUAUUUAUUCACACUCAAUAACUUUAAUCAUGGAUUAUUGGAUUAUGAUAAUAAAUAAAUCCAUUGUUUUAAUUUAGAUUUAUAUAAUUGGGUUUAUUUGGGUCUUUAUUGUUAAUUUUGUGUUUUUAAAGUAAAUUAUCUGGAGGAAGCAUAUACAUUUGUAAAUGGGUCAAAUAUGCAAAAGUUCAAGUUGCUUCUUGAACCAAAACAGGAAACAAAUUCUGGAGAGAAGAAAGAGAAAAUAAAAUCUACAAUAUCUCAGAAACAAAAUUGGAAGCAAAUCUUCUGCAAAAUACAAUAAUUUUGGAAAGUUGGAAACUGUUAACAAAAUAUAAACUACAAUAUUUUUCCAAGAUCCUUUGAGCAGAAAAGCCUAUAAAAGGACACAAGCAUCGAGGAGAAAAAUAGAGUUUCAUAGGGUUUUUUUAGUUUUUUUUCUUCUUUGUAAUUCUUUUAUUUUGUCUCUGCAUGGAAGGCUAAACCUUUUUUGUUGAUUCUUUUGUAAUUCCCCAUUGAGUUUUGAGGUUUUUUUCAAUAAAAGUUUCGAUUUUUAAUUAUGUAUAACAGUUGUUUUAAUAGUCUAAUCUCCUGGAAAACUGUUUUUUAUGAGAGGUUGUACUUGAACGCAUGAUUGAGAGUCUUCCUUAUCUUAAACUUUGGUUUCUUAGUUAGUACGUAUUGUUCUAAUUAAUUUAUUGGGCGCAUGAUUCAAGAGAGAGGUGGUAAGCAUUCCCAUGGAGUAUACGCAUGGAACAAAGUGGGUAUUGGUUAAACCAGUAGACACAUGCUUUACUGGUGAGUUUCAGUUGAAUCAGAUCGGCUCAUGUUCAAUCUGGUUUAACUCUGUUGAAGGAUUAAGAAAAGAUUAAUCUUUAGAGAACUUGUGAAGAAUUCAAUGGAGGAAGAACUUGGGAUCAACCGCUUUUUAUUUGUUGUUUCAAAUAUCUUUUACAUUGCAUACAUAACUAUCUUAACCCCUUUUUAUUAUUAUUGUUGUUGCUAACUUUUAUUGCUUGCAGGUAGAUUCUAAACACUGAUCUACUGAUUUUACUAUUGGAUUCAUUGGGAGACGACUUGGGGUCAUCUGACCACAAUUAUACUAUCAUCUCUAUAGUGUUAGACAAGUCUACGCUAGAAUCAUAUUAACUCUGUUGGAGGAUUAAGAAAAAAUUAAUCUUUAGAGAACUUGUGAAGAAUUCAAUGGUGGAAGAACUUGGGAUCAACCGCUUUUUAUUUGUUGUUUCAAAUAUCUUUUAUAUUGCAUACAUAACUAUCUUAACCCCCUUUUUAUUAUUAUUGUUGUUGCUAACUUUUAUUGCUUGCAGGUAGAUUCUAAACACUGAUCUACUGAUUUUACUAUUGGAUUCAUUGGGAGACGACUUGGGGUCAUCUGACCACAAUUAUAUUAUCAUCUCUCUAGUGUUAGACAAGUUUACGCUAGAAUCAUAUUAAUUUGACAGCAAAACGACAACUAUCAGCGAGCCUACCAUUCGAAGGAAACUGUUUGAUAUGUUAAACGAGCUCCGCGACAAGAGCAAAAUCCGUGAGACCACGUGCAAUCUUUAAGUGGCAAGGCAGUACAACAUAAAGGUCCGACCGAGUAGCUUUCAAAAGGGAGAUCUUGUAUGCAGAAUGAGAAGCGAAGCAAGGAAUAAUGAUGACAAGUUCUCAUCUAAUUGGGACGACCAUUUUCAGGUAUGAGAGGUUGCAGUUGGGGGGGCGUACCACUUAGAGUGGUUAUCAGAAAAAAUUGUACGAAGGACGUGGAAUGUCACACACCUCAAGUUUUAUUAUAGUUAAACAAGCAAUAAAACUUGUGCACUUUUACCUCACCCGACCUUUUUUCCCUAAGGAGGGUUUUUGGUGGGACAGGUUUUAACGAGAUAUUUAUCUUCCAUUCUGUGCAAUUUUAAGUCAAAUUCAUGCAUCUCUCAAUGCUCGGUUCAGUCAAGGAUGUAGCCCUAACCGGCAUACCUUAGCAAUACCUAAAAGACUUGGUUCAGUCAAUGAUGUAGCCCUAACUGGCAUAUCCUACCGAUGCCUAGAAAGCUCGGUUCGGUCAAGGAUGGAACCCUAACCGGCAUACCCUACCGAUACCUAUAAGACUUGGUUCGGUCAAGGAUAUAGCCCUAAUAGGCAUACCCUACCGAUACCUACAAGACUCAGUUCAGUUAAGGAUGUAGUUCUAACCGACAUACCCUGUUGACACCAUAAAGACUUGGUGCGGUCAAGGACACAACCUUAACUGGCAUACCCAACCGACACCUUGAAGUCUCGGUUCGGCCAAAGACGUAGCCCUAACUGGCAUACCCUGUCGAAACCAUAAAACAGUCACAAACAAACUUAGUCGAUAUUGUUGGGACCACUAUUUAUAGCUCGUGAGGGUCUCAAGAGACGAAUUGUCACAACCAUCCUAACCAUUAGAUCUCCUCGAUCCAACGGUCUUCGUCGAUUGACGCCUAAAAACUCUCAUUAAUGCAUGUCACAUCAUCCAUUAACGUGUCGUCAGACAUCACGUCAAGCCUCGAGAAGCCCAAUCGUCACGUCGUACCUUGGGAAGCUUGAUCGCCACAUAAUUCUCGACUCUUCGGAUUAAUCAUCUUCGAUCUUGGGGGCAAGUGUAUCGGUGAGGGUCGUACGACUGACCACAUGUCUCGAUCCUCAUCAUCAGGCCGACCGAGGAUAAGGUCCCCAUCAAUGGGCUGACCGACAACUCAAAUCCAAUUACACUUAAGUAGAGCCAGUGAAGUUAAUCCACGAUUAAGAGCUAGGUAAUGUAUUCCUAAACAUGGUCAAACUCUCUAAUCUGACCCAAUAAGAAAAAACCAUUAAAAUAAUAUCGAGCGUCAGAGUGUCUUUUACUGGUACGUCAUCGUAUACAAUGCUCUGACAACCAAGCGCUGAAUACCUUUACUGACUUGAGCAUCAAAGUCUCUUUUACAGGUACCAUCCGAGUCUGGACUACGAGAAAACCAAGAGGUAAGACGAGUGAGAAGGAGUAAGGAGUCUGUAAGGAGGAAAGUUGAAGUGUAAUCCGAGCGACCAACUAAGAGAGAGAAAAGUGAUCUCAAUAGUUCUUUAGACCUCAAUCUUAUUCAAAAACAAAAAUUAUUUUCUAUUGUUUCAAAAAUAUUUAUUCUUCAUCGCGUGCACUAAAGUACUAAUUUUUUCAGCUGGAAGUGUAAAAUAAAAAUUAAAACACGCUUAAAAAAAACUAUUUCUUACAGUUUAAAGUUUGUUUUAAAAACUCAAAAUUGUGUAAAUAAUAACUAAGCUCACUCAUAUUGUAUAGUUUUUAAAAAUUUUAACACACAAAAAUUGUCUUAAAAAGGAAUGUUAUAUUGUUAAAUGCUUUCAAAAUUUAAAUAAAACACUCCAUUCAAAAAAAUAUUUUUGACUGAAAUGAUUUUUUUUCUUUUAAAAUAAUAACUAAAACUUAAAAUAUAUAAUAAAGGAUUAUAAAUAAGUUAAAUUAAGCCCGUUUGUUUCCUUUAUUUUACUGUUUUGUUGUCCAAGUUUGGUCAAUUUAUAAGUGAAAAUAUUUAAACUUAAAAAUAAUGAUUUUAAAUAAAAAAAAAUUAAGAAAGUAAGAUUUAUUAAAAUAAACUGGGAAUUACUUAUUUAUCAAAUCCAUACAAAAGUAUUUAUUUUACUAACACUUUACCAAAUAUGUUAUCAAUUUCUCAAUGUAAUUCAAAAGACUGGUGCAUUUACAAAUACCAAAGUUAUCAUUAAACAUGUUAAUAAGUACUAUUGAAGAAACCAAUAUACUUAUAAGUUAACUUUGAUCGAAUUAAGUAUUGACUAAUGGAAAUAAAAGUAACAUACUUCUAUUAGAGAAUCAGGGUUUGCCCGGGAAAUAGGAAUGAAAUAGAGGAAAUAAAAAUAAAUGAGAUUCAAAAAAGAUAAAAGAAGAAGAUUAAAUAAUAAAUAAAAUGAAAAUAAAAUAGUUUACCAGACAGAAAUGCAUUAUAAAUAGACUGAAAACAAAAAUAAAGAAAAUAAAUGGAAAAAGCAUUUAAUUUUAAAAACAUUAUUAGUAUUAUUGUUUCUUCAUUUGAUUAUUAUAAUUUUUUGCUAUUGAUAUUUAUUUUGUUACUUUUUUAAGGAAAUUUAUUGUUAUUGUUAAUAUUACAUACAUAUUAGUCAAAAUUGAGAGAUUAAUUACGAUGAUAAUACUACAAGAAAAAAGUUUUUUCCAUAGGUUUUAAAAAAAUUAAAGCAUUUUUGGAAGAUUUUGAAUUUUAAGUUUACGGAAUAAGUAUUCUAUAAUAUCAUUUAAAUUAUUUCAGAAACAUUAUUUUACAAUAAAAAUAUUGUAAAAUAGUUAACAAUAAUUAAAAACCAAUAAUAAAUAAUACAUUUAGGAUGUUAUUUGAUUUUUUUAAAAUAUAUUUUUUAAUAAUUUUAAUAAACGCGUAGUUCAUAAAUUUGUUAGUGUAUUAUACAUUUCACUUGAAAGAAUAUUGAAAAUAUUAUAAUGCAGGAAUUGAUUGCCCUAGUUUUGGCGCACUACGUGGCUGGAAUUUUUGUCAUUUUGUGUAAGAAAACUGUGAGGAAAGUAGAUUUGUAAAAUGACGAAUUUAACCUUAUGUUUUAACUUUUCACUGGGUUGAAAAAACAAAUCUCAACCUGCAUAUCUUAAUUUUAUAACUUCUUCAAAUUUAGUCUUCAUCAUUCAUUAAAACCAGGAGCUCUUUGUAUAUUUUCAUCAACUUUAUUUUUUAUCUGUUUUUCCCAAAUCAAAUAACUAAACAUUCUUUCUUUUUUGUUUUACUUAUCUUUUAUCAUACCUUUUCUCUUUUAUUUCCCUUCACUAAACCAAACAAGUAAUGGUGGCAUCACAAACAUGUUAUAUUUUAUUAAUAUUAAAAUUAGUAUAAUUCAAAUAUAUAUGUUUUGUUUGAAUUAUAUGUUAAUUGAAUGGUGAAAAGUAAAUGAGUCAUUUUUUUUAAAAAUAGAAAUUAAAAUCAUUUUGAAUCAAAGAAAAAUGUAAAAAAAUGAAAUGUAGUAUUUAUUAUCAAUGAUUUAUUUAAUUUUAUUAAUUAUUUUAAUAAGUCAUUUUACUAAAAAUAUAAAUAUUAACAAAAUUAACAAUAUAGUAGACCAUGUCUUUGUUUAUGUUAAAACAUAAUUAAUUAUAAAUAUACGUAAAUGUUAAUAAAAAUAGAUUUUUUAAAACAUAAUGAAUUAUAAAAUAUAUGCAAAUAUUAAUAAAAUACUUUUACAUGAUUAAUUUUAUCAUAAACAGUUUACAAUGAUUAUGUAUCAAAUGAUCAUUCCACUAAAAAAGAAAAAGUCCUUUAAAUAAUAUCAUUGUUGAUUUAGAAAGAAAAAGUCUUUCCUCUGACAAAUCCUAUAUAAAAAUCAUAACCAUUCUUUGAAAAUUAUAGAGAAAAAUAUAAACGAGAACUAAGUUUUUCUCACAAGUCAAAGCUUUGUGAAAAUUGCCGGUCAUAGUCCUUUAGUGUGGCUCAUAUAAUUAAACUUCCAAUGGCAAAAACAAAAUUGAUAAAAUAAAUCAAGCAUAAACAUGUGAGUGCGUCAAACAUUUGAAUACUCCUAUUAUAUUUUAUAGUUAAAGUGGGGUGGAUUGAGGAGAGAGAGUGUGCGGAAGGUACAAGUUAGGAUGAAACCAUAAGUUCAAAAUUAUUUAUUGGAACACCAGGAGCCAUUCGAAAGGGCAAUUGGUCCAACGUAAAAACAGUAACUUACAAACCAAACAUGAGUUUCUCACAAACAGUUUUCUCUCGGGUACAGAUGAAGCAACAGAUAAAAAAUUAAAGGGGAGCCGAAGCCCCCAUAAAAAGAGUACAUAGAACAUUCAGAAACUGUGAUAAGGUAAUGUAUCGACACAAUUUCCAUCAAACAUGGGCACUUCUUAUCAAGGUAAAAUAAUACCAUGAAUUUGCUUAUUGUAAAGUAGUUUGGCUGCCAAGAAAUAAGCUAGUCGACCUCACUUUGUCCACCAAUGGAGGAAGUCUUUGCGCCUACUGAUCUUUUUCUGCAGCUGGAGGAGUCCAUACAACAAAGCCUCAGCAGUUGGAGGACAGCCUGGAAUAUAUAUGUCAACGGGAACAAUCCUGUCACAUCCUCGAACCACGGAGUAAGAGUAGUGGUAGUAACCUCCGCCGUUAGCACAACUUCCCAUUGAAAUGACCCAUCUAGGUUCAGGCAUCUGGUCAUAAACCCUGCAAAAAAUUUCGGCGUUACAUAAUGUUCAAAAACAGAACUUGCGUGGGGAGACAUUGGGGAAAACUUAUCCAGAGUUUACUUGAGCAAAUGAAAACAACUUGUAACUCCCAUAAACUUCUUUUUUAAGCUUAUACCAAGCAGUUAUGAAAAAUAUGACAUAAGUUCUCAUGUAGUGUUUGAAACAGGAAGUCUUGAUCCUUUUCAUUCAUGGAGGAAAUGUUUCACGAUUCUUACUUUCAUUGUCUGAUCAGGAUUGCAAUCAUCUCAUGCAGACAGACUCCCAAAUACACUCAUCCUGGUCAGAAGAUGUGUUAGUAACUGGAAAAUUAGCAUCUCUUGCGUUUCAAUUACUUAAAAUAUAUUGGCUGCAAGAGACUCUGGCCCAAGUGAUGCCUAUUUUGGAAGUGGCUAUUUCGGCUCUAGCUUAGGCUUCUAGUUCCUAAAAAAAUUCCCAGCUUUGGAAAAACAAAAAAAAAAUCCUCGUUGAUAAAAGCUUAUAGAAUUAGUGUUCAAUUAAGCUGCUUGGGGAAACUCAUCAUGACAUACUAAUAGAUAAUGACAAGCAACCAAGAAUAUGUAUUAUAACAUAGUAUAAAGGUUAUCAAGUGAAACUGGCAUACUCUAGUACACCUUUUCCAAAACAACUAAAGCAACUUAAAACCAUUUUUAUACUUUAUAGUAACAUGCCAUGACUCGUCCUGUUCACACCUCUCACUCAAUGCAAGACAACCAUUAUCCCCAUCAACUCCACUAGUCUAACUCGGCUAGAUUCCAGCCUUAGAAAUAAACUAAGGUUGACCAUCUACUGAACAGGUCUAGCUCAGCUAGAUUCCAACCUUAGAAUAAACUAAGGUUGACCAUCGACUGAACGAGUCUAGCUUGGUUAGAUUCCAUCCUUAGAAAUAAACUAAGGUUGACCAUUGACUGAACGGGUCUACCUCGGCUAGAUUCCAGUCUUAGAAAUAAACUAAAGUUGACCAUCGACUGAACGGGUCUAGCUCAGCUAGAUUCCAGUCUUAGAAAUAAACUAAGGUUGACCAUCGAUUGAACAGGUCUGGCUCAGCUAGAUUCCAACUUAGAAAUAAACAAAGGUUGAUCAUCGAUUGAAUGGGUCUAACUCAAUUAGAUUCCAUCCUUAGAAAUAAACUAAGAUUGAUCAUCGACUGAACGGGUCUAGCUCAGCAAGAUUCCAGCCUUAAAAAUAAACUAAGAUUGACCAUCGACUGAACUGGUCAAGCUCGGCUAGAUUCCAACCUUAGAAGUAAACUAAGGCUGACCACAAACUGAGUAAAUCGAUUAAAACUCGACCAUGGAAGCAACGAAACAAUGAACGUCAAGCAACUAAAUGAUCAAAAUGAACUACGCGAAAGCUAAAGGCUGAUUUAUCAAGGUACUAAUCUUUCCCUAUAUUUUUAGGCAUCAAAUUUCAAUAUUUUCACGUGCCUAAAAGGAACUUAACAUUUUUUUUAGUGUUGUAUCUGCCAAAAUCUAAUGUUUUCGUACACAACCAUAAACAAAUUAUGCACAACUUACAUCGUGAUUUAUUUCUUGGUUUUUUGGUGUAUAAACCUCUUCGCCUUGUUUAUUCGGCUUGCGGCUGGGAGGCUGUCGUUAUCUCCUAUUAAAAGGGAAUAUAAUUAACUUACAUCGUGAUUUAUUUUUGAGUUUUUCUUAGGAUAAACAUCUUCGCCUACUUGGCUGGGGGCUGUGUACUGAUAUCUCCAAUUAAAAGGAAAUAUAAUUUAUCUAAAGAGUUUCUUAUAGGGCCUAUUGAAUAAAAUUUCCUAGAAUCUUAGCAAAAAUAAAGGAAUAUCUUUUUGUGGUACUUGAAAUAAGGUUGAGGAGAAUUUUAAGGCUUAAAUAAUAUUAGUUAAGAUUUAGAAGAUAAGAGAUAACACUGUAUUUUUUUGUGGUACUUGAAAUCAGUUGAAGAGGCUUAAAUAAUAUUAGUUAAGCAUUAAAUAAUAUUAGUUAAGGAUUAAAUUAUAUUACUUGAAAUUUAGAAGAUAAUUGAUAACUAACCAGGACUUAUAAAUAAGUCUGUCAUGAUGAUGAUGAACAAUAGAACUCAACUUGUAUGCUAUGAUUUGAGGUCAUUUAAACUUUGGACCAUAACACAUGGCAUGACUCAGACUGUUCACACCUCUCACCCAAUGCAAGACAACCAUUAUCCCCACAAGAACCUCUUUUGACAAGCAAUAUCGUUCAAUCAAAGUGAUUUCUAUAACAACAUUUAAUCACGACGAGAAGAGUCUAUUAGCCACGACCUAUUAAUUAGGUGUAUGUGAGGAAGAAAGGCAAGGGUAGCAAGGAAUUAGAAGCAAGUGAAAGCAAUGGGGCAAAUAAAUGUAAAUGGGAAAUCACUCUGGGGAUAUGGAUUAUAAGUUUGCAACAACCAAUAACCUGCGCACAUGCCAGGUGAAGGCAGGAAUCAAGUGAGGAUUGGGAAGGUAGAAAGCAAGUCCCUUAAAGAGCCUACAGACUACAGCUAGUGUAUCCUGGUACCAGAUUUCUAACACUAAGCUAAAAAAAACUAAGGUUACAACACCAAAACAAGAGUCAAUUAAAACAGACAAAACACAUCAUCAUUGGCCAGAUUAAAUCUCCCCGAAAUCCAAUUUAGUCACAGAAAUCCUAAAAUAAAGGACUUCUUGAAAACCGAACACAAAUUAUCUUUAAAACUCUCCAACAUAUAUAUAACAGCAUUCAAACAAAGACGCGAAAGCAUAGACACCAUAUCAAGUCAAAUUGAAUACUCAACCAUGCAAUAUGUCAGACACAAAGCAAAUCAGUGCAUCAGGCAAGGCAUAUGAUAUGAUUUCUAAUCUAGUGGGGAGAGCAACAAAGUGGAAAAUAGAUUAGGGGAAGUAAAAACCCUAGAAAAAGGGAUAGAGGACUUACUUUCGAAGAGCGGGAGCCAUCUUGUUGGUGAGAGUGCCUGCGACGAUCAUGCAGUCAGACUGGCGAGGGCUGGGCCUGAAAAUGAUGCCGAAGCGAUCGAGAUCAUAGCGGGCGGCGCCGG